UACGGGGGGGGCAAGCGUUGUUCGGAAUUACUGGGCGUAAAGGGCGCGUAGGCGGUUUGCUAAGUUGGAUGUGAAAACUCUGGGCUUAACCCAGAGCCUGCAUCCAAAACUGGCAAACUUGAGUACUGGAGGGGAAAGCGGAAUUCCUGGUGUAGCGGUGAAAUGCGCAGAUAUCAGGAGGAACACCCGUGGCUAAGGCGGCUCUCUAGUACGGUACUGACGCUGAGACGCGAAAGCGUGGGGAGCGAACAGG
This 253-nucleotide ribosomal RNA is filed under the name uncultured bacterium. Its description in RNAcentral is "partial 16S ribosomal RNA". It matches the Rfam family "Bacterial small subunit ribosomal RNA", at positions 524 to 776 of the family's 1533-position model. The record is from RNAcentral.